RNAcentral lists this ribosomal RNA (482 nucleotides) under uncultured bacterium. RNAcentral describes it as "partial 16S ribosomal RNA". It matches the Rfam family "Bacterial small subunit ribosomal RNA", at positions 30 to 507 of the family's 1533-position model. The record is from RNAcentral.
AUUGAACGCUGGCGGCAUGCCUUACACAUGCAAAUCGAACGGUAACGGGCCUUCGGGUGCCGACGAGUGGCGAACGGGUGAGUAAUACAUCGGAACGUGCCCGAUCGUGGGGGAUAACGAGGCGAAAGCUUUGCUAAUACCGCAUACGAUCUACGGAUGAAAGCAGGGGACCGCAAGGCCUUGCGCGGACGGAGCGGCCGAUGGCAGAGUAGGUAGUUGGUGGGAUAAAAGCUUACCAAGCCGACGAUCUGUAGCUGGUCUGAGAGGAUGAUCAGCCACACUGGGACUGAGACACGGCCCAGACUCCUACGGGAGGCACCAGUGGGGAAUUUUGGACAAUGGGCGCAAGCCUGGUCCAGCCAUGCCGCGUGCAGGAUGAAGGCCUUCGGGUUGUAAACUGAUUUUGUACGGAACGAAAAGCCUUCUUUUAAUACAGGAGGGUCAUGACGGUACCGUAAGAAUAAGCACCGGCUAACUACGUG